Artibeus jamaicensis (Jamaican fruit-eating bat) is the source of this 1065-nucleotide long non-coding RNA. RefSeq lists it as uncharacterized. The transcript is spliced from 3 exons. The record is from RefSeq and is a predicted model, not a curated record. NCBI's taxonomy places the organism in Eukaryota, Metazoa, Chordata, Mammalia, Chiroptera, Phyllostomidae.
UCCACACUUCAGCUGCCACCACAGUAAUCUUCGUAAGGAGGGCUCUGAUCCUGUCACUCCAAGCUGCAGAUGCCUAUUGUUCUUCAAAAUAAAAGAGUGUUACUGCAUGAAAACCCCUCAUCUUAAUCAGCUUUGCAUUCUAAUGUACACCACGGCUCAUUCUUCACUGCUGGUGCGGACAAGAGGAGGGUGUUGCAGAAGUGUCUACCACUCCACAUUUUCAUAGCAGGAAAGUACCGGGAGGAGCCCCACGGCAGUUCAGACUGAGAACAUUAUUACUCCUCCUACCUGACCCAGGAGGAGCAGGAGAAUAGAGGCGUUAAAGCUUAGCUACAAACCUAACAAUGUCUAAAUAUACCACCAUCCACACACACACACUAUCUCCCUUCCUUAGGAAUUUCUUCACUGGAGUCGAGUGUGAACAAGGCCGGUCUCAUCGCAAACAGAGAAAAGUAUAAGAACUUGCACAUUAAAUUAAGGAAUGUGAAUAAACAUAAUCCCACUCUAGUAUUAAAUGACACUUUGGCCAUUCCGUUAACAGCCCUGCUUUUAAGGAGUCCGCUUGAUUGAAAUGAUUGGAGGGGGCUGAAGGAGUGGGUAGUUUCCAAGACUUCCAAACCAAAGCCAAGCUUGUUAGCAGCAACUGUCAGACAACAAGCCCAGCACACAGGACACCAUAUGGAGCUGCUGCAGCCACCGAACCUGGGACCCACGUAUGUCCUCAGCGUGCAGCAUCCAGUGUGCUCUCCCCGCCCUCCACCCACCCAGGAGCCCCGAGGGACUUAGGUAUGGAGCAUCCACUAAUCAGAACACCUGCAUGUUACUCCAAUGUGUUUCGGGGGUGAGGGGAAUAUGUUUUCAUUCAUUAGAGCGCUGAUAAACACUGAGCUGACACUUACCUUCCCAUAGAUCUUUAAACCCACCAGUAACUUCCUUUUGACUCAGAAGUUUCUGGCUCCUAUUAUGACCACCCAUUGGUAUUUCUCCCAAAAACAUAAUGUAAGCUCCAUGGAAACUGAAGCCUUGUGUGUUCCAGACCCAGGAGAGUGCCCAGUACAAACAAGA